This 64-nucleotide transfer RNA is filed under the name Acanthephyra sp. RNAcentral describes it as "tRNA-Leu". The record is from RNAcentral. Lineage: Eukaryota; Metazoa; Arthropoda; Malacostraca; Decapoda; Oplophoridae.
UCUAAAAUGGCAGAUCAGUGCAUAGGAUUUAAGCUCCUAAUAGGAAACUCCCUUUCUUUUAGAA